Molecule: transfer RNA, 68 nt
Filed under: Synodus macrops (triplecross lizardfish)
Lineage: Eukaryota; Metazoa; Chordata; Actinopteri; Aulopiformes; Synodontidae
Description: tRNA-His
Rfam family: tRNA
About the family: Transfer RNA (tRNA) molecules are approximately 80 nucleotides in length.
Source: RNAcentral
GUGAAUAUAGUUUAAAAAAACACUAGAUUGUGAUUCUAGAAUUAAAGGUUAAACCCCUUUUGUUGACC